This 329-nucleotide ribosomal RNA is filed under the name uncultured eukaryote. Its description in RNAcentral is "partial 18S ribosomal RNA". It matches the Rfam family "Eukaryotic small subunit ribosomal RNA", at positions 1470 to 1796 of the family's 1831-position model. The record is from RNAcentral.
CCCUUAGAUGUUCUGGGCCGCACGCGCGCUACACUGACGAUGGCAACGAGUUUUUCCUUCGCCGAAAGGUGUGGGUAAUCUUUUGAAACAUCGUCGUGCUGGGGAUAGAUCAUUGCAAUUUUUGAUCUUGAACGAGGAAUUCCUAGUAAGCGCGAGUCAUCAGCUCGCGUUGAUCACGUCCCUGCCCUUUGUACACACCGCCCGUCGCUACUACCGAUUGAAUGGUUUAGUGAGGACUCCUGAUUGGCGCCGCCGCCCCGGCAACGGAGCAGCGGACUGCCGAAAAGUUGUUCAAACUUGAUCAUUUAGAGGAAGUAAAAGUCGUAACA